RNAcentral lists this long non-coding RNA (372 nucleotides) under Chinchilla lanigera (long-tailed chinchilla). Its description in RNAcentral is "lncRNA (ENSCLAG00000023528.1)". Lineage: Eukaryota; Metazoa; Chordata; Mammalia; Rodentia; Chinchillidae. The record is from RNAcentral.
AGGUGUGGAAGAACACAUAAAUUCCUAUUAUCCCUGAUGAUUCUGAACAGCACCACCCACGGAGAAUGAGCUGCAGCCAGAAAUUUCCCCCUACUUCAUCCAGGACCAGGAAGUUGUGGGUUUCUGCAGGCAAGAGGACCUGCCCAGGGCCACGCAGCUGGAGAAGGGAGUCAGAGCUGAAGCUGCCCCUCCAUUUCCCUCUCGGCUUCCCACCCUGAGCUGUGUGAUCCUGCGCACACAGUCCACCAUUCUGCUUCUUCCACCAUCAUCCAUUUUGUGUCAAGAGGAAAUGGUUCCAACAAAGAGUAAGUGAGAGAGCAAAAGUCUGGAACAUGGGAGACUUUGGGGGCAAAAAGGGUCAUGGUGGUGAAC